RNAcentral lists this ribosomal RNA (396 nucleotides) under uncultured bacterium. RNAcentral describes it as "bacterial SSU rRNA". It matches the Rfam family "Bacterial small subunit ribosomal RNA", at positions 28 to 416 of the family's 1533-position model. The record is from RNAcentral.
GACGAACGCUGGCGGCGUGCCUAACACAUGCAAGUCGGACGGGAUUUGGGGGGCAACUCCAAGUUCAGUGGCAGACGGGUGCGUAACACGUGAGAAACCUGCCCAACGGUGGGGGACAGCCGGCCUAACGGCCGGGUAAUACCGCAUACGCUCGUUUGGGGGCAUCCCUGAGCGAGGAAAGCAGCCGCAAGGUUGCACCGAUGGAGGGUCUCGCGGCCUAUCAGCUAGUUGGCGGGGUAACGGCCCACCAAGGCGACGACGGGUAGCUGGUCUGAGAGGAUGGCCAGCCACAUUGGGACUGAGACACGGCCCAGACUCCUACGGGAGGCAGCAGUGGGGAAUAUUGCGCAAUGGGCGAAAGCCUGACGCAGCGACGCCGCGUGAGGGAUGACGGCC